UGGCAUGCAUACCUUUUCCCAGGCCACAUAAGCUUUCUUUGAGAUAUUAACUGAACCUGACCAAAUAUAGGAUCUACAUAUUGACUCCAGCAGUUUAACAACCUUUGAAGGCAUGAUAAAUAAUUGAGCCCAGUAAGCUUGAACACCAAAUAUAACUGAUUGCACAAACUGGCUUCUGCCUGCAUAGGAUAGAUAUCUAGCUGUCCAGGAAGUAAUUCUAGCAGAAAUCCUGUCAACCAGAGGUUGCCAUUAAGCAACUGACAACUUUUUGGUAGUCAAAGGCACUCCCAAGUAUUUGAAAGGGAGGUAUCCUCGAACAUAACCAAGAUGGUCAAGAAUUUGAUGCUGAAUCACAGGGGUGACCCCUCCAAAAUACACUGCACUUUUGUGUAAGUUUGCUUUAAGACCAGUAGCUGCAAGGAAUUGAGAGAAAAAUAAGAACAUAGAACUUACUGACUGAAGCUCUCCUUUGACAAACAAUAGUAAGUCAUCAGCAAAGCUUAAAUGAGUAAUUCCCAAUUUCUAAGGGAGGUAUCCUCGAACAUAACCAAGAUGGUCAAGAAUUUGAUGCUGAAUCACAGGGGUGACCCC
This 591-nucleotide long non-coding RNA is filed under the name Nicotiana benthamiana. RNAcentral describes it as "long non-coding RNA (NBEN_LNC036449)". Lineage: Eukaryota; Viridiplantae; Streptophyta; Magnoliopsida; Solanales; Solanaceae. The record is from RNAcentral.